UGAGCAAUCUGCCCUUCUCAUCGGAAUAAGCGUUGGAAACGACGUCUAAUGCCGAAUACGACCUCCUUUCGCAUGAUCGGAGGUGGAAAGCUCCGGCGGAGAAGGAUGAGCUCGCGGCCUAUCAGCUAGUUGGUGUGGGUAAUGGCCCACCAAGGCGACGACGGGUAGCCGGCCUGAGAGGGUGACCGGCCACACGUGGGACUGAGACACGGCCCAGACCACCGUACGGGAGCAG
This 235-nucleotide ribosomal RNA is filed under the name uncultured bacterium. RNAcentral's name for it is "partial 16S ribosomal RNA". It matches the Rfam family "Bacterial small subunit ribosomal RNA", at positions 118 to 354 of the family's 1533-position model. The record is from RNAcentral.